This 279-nucleotide ribosomal RNA is filed under the name uncultured bacterium. Its description in RNAcentral is "partial 16S ribosomal RNA". It matches the Rfam family "Bacterial small subunit ribosomal RNA", at positions 506 to 784 of the family's 1533-position model. The record is from RNAcentral.
UGCCAGCCGCCGCGGUAAUACGUAAGUCCCAAGCGUUACCCGGAAUUAUUGGGUGUAAAGGGUCCGUAGGCGGAUCUAUAAGUCAGGUAUGAAAGACCGGAGCUCAACUCCGCGUUUGUGCUUGAAACUGUAGGUCUAGAAUCAGGGAGAGGUUAGCGGAAUUCUUAGUGUAGGGGUGCAAUCCGUAGAUACUAAGAAGAACACCAAAAGCGAAGGCAGCUAACUGGAACUCGAUUGACGCUGAGGGACGAAAGCGUGGGGAGCGAAGAGGAUUAGAUA